Molecule: long non-coding RNA, 452 nt
Organism: Gasterosteus aculeatus aculeatus (three-spined stickleback)
Lineage: Eukaryota; Metazoa; Chordata; Actinopteri; Perciformes; Gasterosteidae
Source: Ensembl
UGCCAAACGCUGCGUGCUGAGUCCUCGCUGGCCGAAGGUGUUAAACCGGUUACGCCCGGUCUCACGUGUCUCACUGGAUCAUGUUUCAUUGGUGUCCGUCAACAACUGCAAAGACAAGAGAGGACGACAGAGGAGGGACAACCCGUUAAAUGCUUUCUACCCGAGGACAACUACAGGCCUCAACAUUUCCAACAGCAGCUGGCUAACACACAAGAAAAUGUUCAGAACAAACUUUCUGGCAUCUACUCGGCUUUCCAAAGCUUGGGCUCGUUUCCACAGACAGGUAAAGUGCUGAACAACGCAACACCAACACGUUCCCUAUAACACAAUAUAAAAUGAGUUCCAUCAAGAGAAAUGCAAUGUUAUGUAUUCUAACUAUGGACAAAAUGUACCAACUCAGAGCCCUCAUAAUUGACGGGCUUUUGGUUUGUAAAAUAAACCAGUGAGAAAAG